UACGGAAGGCAGCAGUGGGGAAUAUUGCACAAUGGGCGAAAGCCUGAUGCAGCUAUGCCGCGUGUAUGAAGAAGGCCUUAGGGUUGUAAAGUACUUUCAUCGGGGAGGAAAAAACAAAACUAAUAAUUUUAUUUCUUGACGUUACCCGAAAAAGAAGCACCGGCUAACUCCGUGCCAGCAGCCGCGGUAAUACGGAGGGUGCUAGCGUUAAUCAGAAUUACUGGGCGUAAAGAGCACGUAGGUGGUUUUUUUAAAGUCAGAUGUGAAAUCCCUGGGCUUAACCUAGGAACUGCAUUUUGAAACUGAAAUACUAGAGUAUCGUAGAGGGAGGUAGAAUUCUAGGUGUAGCGGUGAAAUGCGUAGAUAUCUGGAGGAAUACCUGUGGCGAAAGCGGCCUCCUAAACGAAUACUGACACUGAGGGUGCGAAAGCGUGGGGAGCAAAACAGGGAUUAGAUACC
RNAcentral lists this ribosomal RNA (459 nucleotides) under uncultured bacterium. RNAcentral describes it as "bacterial SSU rRNA". It matches the Rfam family "Bacterial small subunit ribosomal RNA", at positions 340 to 786 of the family's 1533-position model. The record is from RNAcentral.